RNAcentral lists this ribosomal RNA (309 nucleotides) under Triticum aestivum (bread wheat). Its description in RNAcentral is "partial small subunit ribosomal RNA". Lineage: Eukaryota; Viridiplantae; Streptophyta; Magnoliopsida; Poales; Poaceae. The record is from RNAcentral.
AUGGAGUCGGGCAACCACCAAACAUUCAUUGUCUCCGUGGCCAUGACUGACGGAUUGGAGAGCGUUGUGUCCAUGUCCUCAGGAGUGGCCUUUGCCGCCACCAAGGCCGUGUCUGCAGCUGCCUUCGCCAUCGCUAUCUUUUCCUCUGCCUCACGUCCGUGCUGCCUUUGGCGGUGCUCCUUCGGCAAGGUUCUCCGCCUUGCAAGGAUCCAAAGCCAGCCGGGGACCCCGACUGAUUCCAUCGAGGCAUCAUCCGCGCACAUGGAGGCAGACAUGACCGUUGGCGAUGACAUCAGCGAAGGCGGGUGA